GAUGAACGCUGGCGGCGUGCCUAAUACAUGCAAGUCGAGCGAACAGACGAGGAGCUUGCUCCUUUGACGUUAGCGGCGGACGGGUGAGUAACACGUAGGUAACCUACCUAUAAGACUGGGAUAACUUCGGGAAACCGGAGCUAAUACCGGAUAAUAUUUCGAACCGCAUGGUUCGAUAGUGAAAGAUGGCUUUGCUAUCACUUAUAGAUGGACCUGCGCCGUAUUAGCUUGUUGGUAAGGUAACGGCUUACCAAGGCAACGAUACGUAGCCGACCUGAGAGGGUGAUCGGCCACACUGGAACUGAGACACGGUCCAGACUCCUACGGGAGGCAGCAGUAGGGAAUCUUCCGCAAUGGGCGAAAGCCUGACGGAGCAACGCCGCGUGAGUGAUGAAGGUCUUCGGAUCGUAAAACUCUGUUAUUAGGGAAGAACAAACGUGUAAGUAACUGUGCACGUCUUGACGGUACCUAAUCAGAAAGCCACGGCUAACUACGUG
Molecule: ribosomal RNA, 497 nt
Filed under: uncultured bacterium
Lineage: Bacteria
Description: partial 16S ribosomal RNA
Rfam family: Bacterial small subunit ribosomal RNA
Source: RNAcentral